RNAcentral lists this microRNA (22 nucleotides) under Cavia porcellus (domestic guinea pig). Lineage: Eukaryota; Metazoa; Chordata; Mammalia; Rodentia; Caviidae. The record is from RNAcentral.
AACACACCUAGUCAACCUCUUU